This 486-nucleotide ribosomal RNA is filed under the name uncultured bacterium. RNAcentral describes it as "partial 16S ribosomal RNA". It matches the Rfam family "Bacterial small subunit ribosomal RNA", at positions 29 to 507 of the family's 1533-position model. The record is from RNAcentral.
AUUGAACGCUGGCGGCAUGCCUUACACAUGCAAGUCGAACGGCAGCACGGGUGCUUGCACCUGGUUGCGAGUGGCGAACGGGUGAGUAAUACAUCGGAACAUGUCCUGUGGUGGGGGAUAGCCCGGCGAAAGCCGGAUUAAUACCGCCUCCGAUCUACGGAUGAAAGCGGGGGACCUUCGUGCCUCGCGCUAUAGGGUUGGCCGGUGGCUGAUUAGCUAGUUGGUGGGGUGAUGGCCUACCAAGGCGACGAUCAGUAGCUGGUCUGAGAGGACGACCAGCCACACGGGGACGGAGACACGGCCCAGACUCCUAAGGGAGGCAGCAGUGGGGAAUGUUGGACAAUGGGCGAAAGUCUGAUCCAGCAAGGCCGAGUGUGUGAAGAAGGCCUUCGGGUUGUAAAGCACGUUUGUCCGGAAAGAAAUCCUUGGACCUAAUACGGUCGGGGGAUGACGGUACCGGAAGAAGAAGCACCGGCUAACUACGUG